GACGAACGCUGGCGGCGUGCCUAACACAUGCAAGUCGAGCGAGGAGAUUCCCUUCGGGGAUGAACCUAGCGGCGGACGGGUGAGUAACACGUGGGCAACCUGCCUUAUAGAGGGGAAUAGCCUUCCGAAAGGAAGAUUAAUACCGCAUAACAUUACAUUUUCGCAUGAAGAAGUAAUUAAAGGAGUAAUCCGCUAUAAGAUGGGCCCGCGGCGCAUUAGCUAGUUGGUGAGGUAACGGCUCACCAAGGCGACGAUGCGUAGCCGACCUGAGAGGGUGAUCGGCCACAUUGGGACUGAGACACGGCCCAGACUCCUACGGGAGGCAGCAGUGGGGAAUAUUGCACAAUGGGGGAAACCCUGAUGCAGCAACGCCGCGUGAGUGAUGAAGGUCUUCGGAUCGUAAAGCUCUGUCUUCAGGGACGAUAAUGACGGUACCUGAGGAGGAAGCCACGGCUAACUACGUG
This 464-nucleotide ribosomal RNA is filed under the name uncultured organism. RNAcentral describes it as "bacterial SSU rRNA". It matches the Rfam family "Bacterial small subunit ribosomal RNA", at positions 28 to 507 of the family's 1533-position model. The record is from RNAcentral.